Molecule: ribosomal RNA, 254 nt
Filed under: uncultured bacterium
Lineage: Bacteria
Description: partial 16S ribosomal RNA
Rfam family: Bacterial small subunit ribosomal RNA
Source: RNAcentral
GACAUAGGUGGCGAACGUUAUCCGGAAUUAUUGGGCGUAAAGAGUGCGUAGGUGGUUGAAUAAGUUACUGGUGGCAAAUCGGGGCUCAACCCCGUGGAAGUCAGUAAUACUGUUAAACUAGAGGGCUGGAGAGGUUAACGGAACUCCAUGUGUAGCGGUAAAAUGCAUAAAUAUAUGGAUGAACACCAAUUGGCGAAGGCAGUUAACUAUUCAGUUCCUGACGUUGAGGCACGAAAGCGUGGGGAGCAAGACGG